CCUGAACUCGAAUUGCCUCAGUAGUAAUAAAACGACUCCAGACGAGAUAAUAAUGACAACUUCACUGAUUUUCGCGCUGCUGUUUGUCACGGUGUCGUGUCUACCUGUCCCAGUCUUGCCGGAUGACACACACCAGACCUCUAACUUUUGGCCAGAGCUGGGAGACUACCCUGAAUCCAUCACUGGCAAUGUGGCAAAUAGCAGGAGUUUUCUAGUGAACAAAGAAGCUCUUGCAGCUAUCAUUGCAGGUGGUGUGGUGGGACUAGCAUUGGCUGCUAGCUUGCUAACACUGCUCAUCUAUAGCAUGAAGAAGAAAGACUGGGGAGACACUUCAAAGGGAGGAUAUUUGAAAGGCAAUACCAAGGAGUUUAUGGUGUAACUUUCCUAUGAAUGAAUGAAUGACUGCAAAUCGCUUUGGAUAUAAGUGUUGGCCAGAUGGGACGUGCUGUUAGUUUAAAACCAGGCGGAUUGAACCCUGAAUGUUGAUUGCAAGCUGUUGUAUACAAGACUAUAUCACGGGUGAUAAUAAAACAUGUAUUUUUACUGUUCAAAUGGCAAUAUGUUGUUCCACACUUUCCUGUCAAAUAAAGCAUAAAAUUGCCUGAAAAAUAUGUAUUUAAAAAAUACAUAUAUACCGUCACACUUUAUUUGCAUAGUCACAAUUACAAUCUGUUGAUGCUCUAGAGAUAUUUAUACUAUCCACAACAUAUAUGAAAAACUAAAUAAAUGCUUGUUAGGCUAGGGUUAGAUCAAGAAAGAGAGUUAGGGAAAGAAUUAAGGUUAUUGUAAGAAGAUAGUUAAUUGAAAUGUUAUAGAUGAUGUAGGUCAGUGGUUCCCAACCAGGGGUACUAGGACCCCUGGGGGUACUUGGCCUUUCCACAGGGGGUACUUGAAAACACUCAAGUACCCCACUAGUGAAAUGAACAUGAGGGGGUACUUCAGGGGUACUCCAAGCAGUGCAAAUUAUUUUUGGGGGUACAGUAACUGAAAAAGGUUGGGAGCCACUGAUGUAGAUUGUCUGAAAAUCAUCUGUAGAUUGACUUUACAAAUAAACUGUUACCAUAUGUACUGUAUAUGUGAUUACAAGUUUUCUGAACUUUAUUAGUGUUUCAGCAGUUCACUGGUGAAAUACUAUUGUUUUUGUAACAGUUAAUUAUUAUUAUUUUAAAUUGGAUUUCUGCAUGAAUCUUCCACAUAUAUGUUAUAAUCUUUAAAAUGGGUGUACUUUAUCGACAUUUUAAGUAUUGAUGUUAUGAAUCAACUGUGUUGAAAGUAUCACACCUUGAGAAUAAAUUGUAUCUUG
Long non-coding RNA from Esox lucius (northern pike), 1303 nucleotides. Lineage: Eukaryota; Metazoa; Chordata; Actinopteri; Esociformes; Esocidae. The record is from Ensembl.